This is a long non-coding RNA of Homo sapiens (human), 796 nucleotides long. RefSeq lists it as uncharacterized. The record is from RefSeq and is a predicted model, not a curated record. NCBI's taxonomy places the organism in Eukaryota, Metazoa, Chordata, Mammalia, Primates, Hominidae. The transcript has 3 exons.
CUUUCUAUAGAAAGGACAGAGGAACCUGGGCUUUUCUAGGCUGAUUUGGAUGUGGAAAAGCUAUGCCAGACAUUCCCAAGGCACUAGAUAGCUAUAAAGGAAAGAGAUAGAUCAGGAUCCUAGCCAUGGGCACUGAAAAGUGUUGAGUGUCACCAGGGUCAGGGGCUUCUGUAGUCACCCCUGGGCUCCAAUAACCAAGCAAGGUUGGCAGCAGGGCCACAGGGCCUGAGGUCCCAUUUUCCCACUCUCAUAUAGGCAUUGUCUCAUCUUUUUGAAUUGAUGGGGUUGUCUUGGUAGGCCAGAGCAAAUCACGUGAUUAUCAUUGAGAAUGACAUCCAUUCUGAAGAUACCUUUCAGGAUGACUUCAGGACUAGAAAUAGUAUCUGGCUUGUUUCUAGUACAUCUUACCUAAAGUUUCAUGUAUGAAUGGGAGAACGAAAGCCUCAGAUUGUCAACUAACUCUACCAAGUCUUACAAUAGUUCAGUGUUCAUCCAAAAAUCAAAUCCAUAAUUCCAGAUCAUUUCUUCAAUUCCUUCAACUCUUCUUUGAAGCUGAGACCCAGACUCUCGUCUGAUUUUCUAAGCCAGGCAAGACUGAUCAAGAAUCCUACAAGAAGAAAGUUUUCAGAAUCCUGACCUCACUCCAGCAGGUCCAGAACGUUGCUGGUGACAAUGUUCUGGAAGACACCUCAGCAUGAAUCUCUGGAGCCAGCAUCUGGUACCACUGCCAUCUAUGGGGUGAAUACUGCAAUUAAGAGCCUGACCCUCUAUGGUGAAUAAAAAGGUUGUGAAAUUA